Molecule: ribosomal RNA, 553 nt
Filed under: Bifidobacterium animalis subsp. lactis
Lineage: Bacteria; Bacillati; Actinomycetota; Actinomycetes; Bifidobacteriales; Bifidobacteriaceae
Description: bacterial SSU rRNA
Rfam family: Bacterial small subunit ribosomal RNA
Source: RNAcentral
CGGGUGGUAAUACCGGAUGCUCCGCUCCAUCGCAUGGUGGGGUGGGAAAUGCUUUUGCGGCAUGGGAUGGGGUCGCGUCCUAUCAGCUUGUUGGCGGGGUGAUGGCCCACCAAGGCGUUGACGGGUAGCCGGCCUGAGAGGGUGACCGGCCACAUUGGGACUGAGAUACGGCCCAGACUCCUACGGGAGGCAGCAGUGGGGAAUAUUGCACAAUGGGCGCAAGCCUGAUGCAGCGACGCCGCGUGCGGGAUGGAGGCCUUCGGGUUGUAAACCGCUUUUGUUCAAGGGCAAGGCACGGUUUCGGCCGUGUUGAGUGGAUUGUUCGAAUAAGCACCGGCUAACUACGUGCCAGCAGCCGCGGUAAUACGUAGGGUGCGAGCGUUAUCCGGAUUUAUUGGGCGUAAAGGGCUCGUAGGCGGUUCGUCGCGUCCGGUGUGAAAGUCCAUCGCCUAACGGUGGAUCUGCGCCGGGUACGGGCGGGCUGGAGUGCGGUAGGGGAGACUGGAAUUCCCGGUGUAACGGUGGAAUGUGUAGAUAUCGGGAAAGAACACCA